This 458-nucleotide long non-coding RNA is filed under the name Panax ginseng (ginseng). RNAcentral's name for it is "long non-coding RNA (PGIN_LNC017224)". The record is from RNAcentral. Lineage: Eukaryota; Viridiplantae; Streptophyta; Magnoliopsida; Apiales; Araliaceae.
UUAUUGAUGAUUAUUCAGUUCCUAUUGUAACUGCUAUACUUUAAAGUUCGUAUACCCUUAAUGAACUAUAUUCAAGCAUGCUUUCUAGCUUUCGUUUCAGCUAGAUGUUAUUGAUGCAAACGUAGUAUAUUGUUUAAACAAUUCAAAUCCUUUGAAGCUAUUUGAUGUUUACCAAUCCAAAUUGCUUUGGUGAGGUCCCGUAUGAAUACUAAGAUGAACAACCCGGAUAACGGGGUAACUAAUGACGGGUAUAUAGUCUCAUUUACGUUUAUGCGUUUAAAUUUUAUACUUGUGCACAAUGUAGAGUACGAUAGGCUGAUCACCUGGAGUACUUGCAGAGACCGUUUACAAUCUAUUUGAUUGUUAAACCGUCUGAUGGUUUUUGAUGAAACAAAGUAAUGUUCAGGGUAUCUAACACCCCUUAGUAUGCUAUUGAGAAUUCCAGAACUCUUAUCUUG